UAAUAAGUGUUUUAUGGCACUUUUUAAAUCCAUAUCCAUCUGGUGUGCAAUAUCAGGUUGUCCUCUUCUUUUUCUGGAGAGGAUGACCCAAACAUCAACUUAUUCUUGAACUCUUUGUCUGAAAAAUAUUAUGAAUAAAAUAAUUCAAAAUA
Molecule: unclassified non-coding RNA, 152 nt
Filed under: uncultured Mortierella
Lineage: Eukaryota; Fungi; Mortierellomycota; Mortierellomycetes; Mortierellales; Mortierellaceae
Description: sequence contains ITS1
Source: RNAcentral